AUAUUUCACAAUGGAGUAAACUCUGAAGCAGCGACGGCGCGUGAACGAUGAAGGCCUNNNGGUCGNACAGUUCUGUCUUGGGGNACCNUAUUGACGGUACCCCAGGAGGAAUCCCCUGCUAACUACGUUCCAUCAGCCUCGGUAAUACGUAGGGGGCUAGCGUUGUCCGGAAUUAUUGGGCGUAAAGGGUUCGUAGGCGGAUUUUUAAGUCAGAUGUGAAAGGUCGCGGCUCAACCGUGGUAAGCAUUUGAAACUGAAAGACUUGAGAUAAGGAGAGGAAAGUGGAAUUCCUAGUGUAGCGGUGAAAUGCGUAGAUAUUAGGAGGAAUACCAGUGGCGAAGGCGACUUUCUGGACUUAUACUGACGCUGAGGAACGAAAGCGUGGGGAGCAAACA
This 395-nucleotide ribosomal RNA is filed under the name uncultured bacterium. RNAcentral's name for it is "partial 16S ribosomal RNA". It matches the Rfam family "Bacterial small subunit ribosomal RNA", at positions 361 to 774 of the family's 1533-position model. The record is from RNAcentral.